GACGAACGCUGGCGGCGUGCUUAACACAUGCAAGUCGAACGGAAAGGCCUCUUCGGAGGUACUCGAGUGGCGAACGGGUGAGUAACACGUGGGUGAUCUGCCCUGCACUCUGGGAUAAGCCUGGGAAACUGGGUCUAAUACCGGAUAGGACCAUGCUUUAGUGUGUGUGGUGGAAAGUUUUUUCGGUGUAGGAUGAGCCCGCGGCCUAUCAGCUUGUUGGUGGGGUAAUGGCCUACCAAGGCGGCGACGGGUAGCCGGACUGAGAGGUUGGUCGGCCACAUUGGGACUGAGAUACGGCCCAUACUCCUACGGGAGGCAGCAGUGGGGAAUAUUGCACAAUGGGCGCAAGCCUGAUGCAGCGACGCCGCGUGGGGGAUGACGGCCUUCGGGUUGUAAACUCCUUUCGCCAGGGACGAAGCGUUUUGUGACGGUACCUGGAGAAGAAGCACCGGCUAACUACGUGCCAGCAGCCGCGGUAAUACGUACGGUGCAAGCGUUGUCCGGAAUUACUGGGCGUAAAGAGCUCGUAGGUGGUUUGUCACGUCAUCUGUGACAUUCCACAACUUAACUGUGGGCGUGCAGGCGAUACGGGCUGACUUGGGUCCGGUAGGGGAGGGUGGAACACCCGGUGUAGCGGUGGAAUGCGCAGAUAUCGGGUGGAACACCGGUGGCGAAGGCGGCCCUCUGGGCCGAGACCGACGCUGAGGCGCGAAAGCUGGGGGAGCGAACAGGAUUAGAUACCCUGGUAGUCCCAGCCGUAAACGAUGGACGCUAGGUGUGGGGGGACGAUCCCCCCGUGCCGCAGCCAACGCAUUAAGCGUCCCGCCUGGGGAGUACGGCCGCAAGGCUAAAACUCAAAGGAAUUGACGGGGGCCCGCACAAGCAGCGGAGCAUGUGGCUUAAUUCGAAGCAACGCGAAGAACCUUACCAGGGCUUGACAUAUGGGUGAAGCGGGGGAGACCCCGUGGCCGAGAGGAGCCCAUACAGGUGGUGCAUGGCUGUCGUCAGCUCGUGUCGUGAGAUGUUGGGUUAAGUCCCGCAACGAGCGCAACCCCCGCCGCGUGUUGCCAUCGGGUGAUGCCGGGAACCCACGCGGGACCGCCGCCGUCGAGGCGGAGGAGGGCGGGGACGACGUCAAGUCAUCAUGCCCCUUAUGCCCUGGGCUGCACACGUGCUACAAUGGCCGGUACAGAAAGAUGCCACCCCGCGAGGGGGAGCGGAUCCCGGAAAGCCCGCCCCCGUUCGGAUUGGGGGCUGCAACCCGCCCCCAUGAAGUCGGAGUUGCUAGUAAUCGCGGAUCAGCAUGGCGCGGUGAAUGCCUUCCCGGGCCU
This 1331-nucleotide ribosomal RNA is filed under the name uncultured bacterium. RNAcentral's name for it is "partial 16S ribosomal RNA". It matches the Rfam family "Bacterial small subunit ribosomal RNA", at positions 28 to 1381 of the family's 1533-position model. The record is from RNAcentral.